RNAcentral lists this unclassified non-coding RNA (329 nucleotides) under soil metagenome. Its description in RNAcentral is "partial contains 5.8S ribosomal RNA, internal transcribed spacer 2, and large subunit ribosomal RNA". The stretch from base 1 to 120 matches the Rfam family "5.8S ribosomal RNA", at positions 35 to 154 of the family's 154-position model. The record is from RNAcentral.
GAUGAAGAAUGUAGCGAAAUGCGAUAAGUAAUGUGAAUUGCAGAAUUCAGUGAAUCAUCGAAUCUUUGAACGCACAUUGCGCCCCUUGGUAUUCCGAGGGGCAUGCCCGUUCGAGCGUCAUUAUACCCCUCAAGCCUAGCUUGGUGUUGGGGCCUGCUGUUACCGGCAGCCCUUAAAAUCAGUGGCGGUGCCAUCUGGCUCUAAGCGUAGUAAUACUUCUCGCUACAGGGUCCCGGUGGAUGCUUGCCAUCAACCCCUAAUUUUCUAUGGUUGACCUCGGAUCGGGUAGGGAUACCCGCUGAACUUAAGCAUAUCAAUAAGCGGAGGAA